RNAcentral lists this transfer RNA (72 nucleotides) under Salmo salar (Atlantic salmon). It matches the Rfam family "tRNA". Rfam says of the family: Transfer RNA (tRNA) molecules are approximately 80 nucleotides in length. The record is from Rfam by way of RNAcentral. Lineage: Eukaryota; Metazoa; Chordata; Actinopteri; Salmoniformes; Salmonidae.
UCCCGUGUGGCUCAGUUGGUAGAGCAUGGUGUUUGCAAUGCCAUGGUUCUGGGUUCAAUUCCCACGGGGGAC